This 57-nucleotide transfer RNA is filed under the name Odocoileus virginianus texanus. It matches the Rfam family "tRNA", at positions 8 to 63 of the family's 71-position model. From Rfam's summary of the family: Transfer RNA (tRNA) molecules are approximately 80 nucleotides in length. Their secondary structure includes four short double-helical elements and three loops (D, anti-codon, and T loops). The record is from Rfam by way of RNAcentral. Lineage: Eukaryota; Metazoa; Chordata; Mammalia; Artiodactyla; Cervidae. RNAcentral also lists the same sequence under 3 other names.
UGGCUCAGAUGGUAAAGAAUCUGCCUGCAAUGCAGGAGACCCAGGUUCGAUUCCUGG